This 26-nucleotide non-coding RNA is filed under the name Rattus norvegicus (Norway rat). The record is from RNAcentral. Lineage: Eukaryota; Metazoa; Chordata; Mammalia; Rodentia; Muridae.
CUGGGCUAAUGGGCCAUGAAUGGUGG